CCCGGAAGUCCUUCACGAAAUUCCUCCUCCGGACUCCCGGUACUUUUCAGCGGCCGCCUUCCUCUCAUCCCAUCCCACACGUCCUCCAUCCGUUCAGAAUCCGAUGUCGGUCCCCGGCCCGUCUUUACGCCACCGCGGGAAGAGGAAAACUCCUCGAACCCGCUGUACCAGCGCCAAGCUGCCUGUCCCGGGGCUGCUUCCCCGACGCCCAGGGCGCGGGUUGAGUCGGAACCCGGACGCCAGCUAGAAUUCCCGAAUCCGAGGGGACCUCCGCCUCGGCCUCGCUGGGCUCUGACCACGCCCCUUCCUAAGCCCCGCCCAGGGCUUGCGGGGAGGUUUCCGUGGCGACAGUAAACAACACUCAAGAGCUGCUGGAGCCACACCGCAGCCCUGCUCCCCCAACCCACGCUCCUGCAAAUAAGGUGAUCGAGAAUGACAGCGAAGUUGUUAUGAACUGAAACCGGGACACAUGGGGGCCCAGGUGGGGGCCAGGCCUGGGAGGGCCAGCCUGGGGGUCCAGGACACGUGGGCUGUGGUGCGAGGGUCUGCAACCCCCGGAAGAGGCAGCAGCAACUGGAGAACCAGGGAUUGAGAUCUAAGGGAGCAGACGUGCAGGUGGAGCCGGAUGUUGCGUGGGCCCAGGCAGCAGAGGUGGGGUAAGACACCGGGAGCAAGAGGGACUCGUUCAAGCAAGACCUUGUAGUGUUUUCCUAGGAAGGAGCAGGCAACCUGCCCGGGAGGGGGCUCUCCCAGGCUAGGAGUAUGAGCGGCGGACAAAAAAAAAUCCAUAGGCAUGGAAAGAAGCGGGAAGAUAUUACCCAUUAUCAAGGGGAAAAUCUAUCAGGAGAAGCAGAUCGCUAAGUGGCAGAGAUGAGGUAAUUAAUAGACAAAGACACAGAAACAGUUAUAAAUAUCCUCUGUGUACUCAAGAAUGCAGAGGAUCGGGAGUGAAAAAGAAGAUACUUUAAAAAGAAAGACUAGAUGGGAUUUACAGCAGAGUGGAUAUUAGAGAGUAAAGAUCAGAGAAGGCAAAUACAGAGACGGGAGAAAAGAACAUCAAGGACUUGUCGGACAAUAGCAAAUGGUCCAGCGUUCAUGUCAUUGAAGUCCCAGAAUGAGAAGAGGCAGGAAAAACUUCAAAGAAUAAUGUCCUGAAAUAUUCUGAAUUUGACAGAAACCAACAGAUCGAGGUUCAGUGAACCUGAAGCACAAGGAAACAUAAAGAAAACCACAUCAAGGCACGUCCGAUUAAUAAUUGCUUUAAAUGUAAAUGGCCUAAAGACUGCAAACAAAAGGCAGGUAUUAUCAGACUGGGUAAAAAAGCAAGACCCAAAAUAUGCCCUCUAUAAGAACCACGCUUUAAAUAUAAAAACACGGCUGGUUAAAAGUGUGAGAAUGAAA
Long non-coding RNA from Leopardus geoffroyi (Geoffroy's cat), 1401 nucleotides. RefSeq lists it as uncharacterized. The record is from RefSeq and is a predicted model, not a curated record. NCBI's taxonomy places the organism in Eukaryota, Metazoa, Chordata, Mammalia, Carnivora, Felidae. The transcript has 2 exons.